UACGUAGGGUGCGAGCGUUGUCCGGAAUUAUUGGGCGUAAAGAGCUCGUAGGCGGCCUGUUGCGUCGGAUGUGAAAGCCCGGGGCUUAACCCCGGGUCUGCAUUCGAUACGGGCAGGCUGGAGUUCGGUAGGGGAGAUCGGAAUUCCUGGUGUAGCGGUGAAAUGCGUAGAUAUCAGGAGGAACACCGGUGGCGAAGGCGGAUUUCUGGACCAGUUCUGACACUGAUGAGCGAAAGCCAGGGGAGCAAACAGG
This 253-nucleotide ribosomal RNA is filed under the name uncultured bacterium. RNAcentral's name for it is "partial 16S ribosomal RNA". It matches the Rfam family "Bacterial small subunit ribosomal RNA", at positions 524 to 776 of the family's 1533-position model. The record is from RNAcentral.